This 492-nucleotide ribosomal RNA is filed under the name uncultured bacterium. RNAcentral's name for it is "partial 16S ribosomal RNA". It matches the Rfam family "Bacterial small subunit ribosomal RNA", at positions 29 to 507 of the family's 1533-position model. The record is from RNAcentral.
AGUGAACGCUGGCGGUAGGCCUAACACAUGCAAGUCGAACGGCAGCACAGUAAGAGCUUGCUCUUACGGGUGGCGAGUGGCGGACGGGUGAGGAAUACAUCGGAAUCUACUUUUUCGUGGGGGAUAACGUAGGGAAACUUACGCUAAUACCGCAUACGACCUACGGGUGAAAGCAGGGGAUCUUCGGACCUUGCGCGAUUGAAUGAGCCGAUGUCGGAUUAGCUAGUUGGCGGGGUAAAGGCCCACCAAGGCGACGAUCCGUAGUUGGUCUGAGAGGAUGAUCAGCCACACUGGAACUGAGACACGGUCCAGACUCCUACGGGAGGCAGCAGUGGGGAAUAUUGGACAAUGGGCGCAAGCCUGAUCCAGCCAUACCGCGUGGGUGAAGAAGGCCUUCGGGUUGUAAAGCCCUUUUGUUGGGAAAGAAAAGCAGCAGGUUAAUACCCCGCUGUUCCGACGGUACCCAAAGAAUAAGCACCGGCUAACUUCGUG